Piliocolobus tephrosceles (Ugandan red Colobus) is the source of this 1723-nucleotide long non-coding RNA. RefSeq lists it as uncharacterized. The transcript is spliced from 3 exons. The record is from RefSeq and is a predicted model, not a curated record. Lineage: Eukaryota; Metazoa; Chordata; Mammalia; Primates; Cercopithecidae.
CCUCUGCAUGCCACUGAGGACAGGCCUGUGAGGCAGGAAGAGUUUCCUCGCCAGAACCCAACCCUAGCAGACCUAGACCUGGGACUUCCAGCCUCCAGAAACAGGAGAAAAUAAAUUUCUGCUGUCUAGAAGUCCCCCAGGUAUAUUUUGCUAUGGCAGCCCAAGCUGACUGAGACAGAUGGUGACAGGCACCAGCAGCCAGGCUUCAGCCAUCAGCCUCACCCAGCUGAACGCAGCUCCUGCUCUUGGAUGGAGGAAGGUCAUAGCGAUGCCUGAAGGGAGAAGCCUGUUCAUGCCAUCUGCUCCCCAGACACCAGCUCCGGCGGCGUGGAUGCUGCUGCCUUCCAGGUGGCUGGGAGCCCGCUCUCACGUUUGGGAGCUAAUGUCUGUGGAAAGGGAGGGUGCUCAGUCCACAUGGGAUUUUGCUCCCCUGACACAGAGCAUAAGGAUGCUGUAAGCUGAGAGUGAAGUCAUUGUCCACCUCCCAGGGGCCACAUUGCAGGUCCAAAUACAGAAAAGAGAGUGUCUUAAAGGAAGCCUUUGACUCUCUUUGGCUGAGUUUAUGGAAAGGAAAAUGGUGCGAGCUGUUGAUGGAUCUACCAUUCUGGGAUCUGCAAGGCACUGGCCCUCCUCUCAGCACUCCAGUAGGCAGUGCUGCAGUGAGGACUCUGUGUGGGGGCUCCAACCCCACAUUUCUCCUCUGCACUGCCCUAGUAGAGGUUCUCCAUGAGGGCUCUGCCCCUGCAGCAGACUUCUGCCUGGACAUCCAGGCAUUUCCAUAACUCUUCUGAAAUCUAGGCAGAAGUUCCCAAACCUCAACUCUUGACUUCUGUGCACCUGCAGGCCCCACACCAUGUGGAAGUCACCAAGGCUUGGGUCUUGCACUCUCUGAAGCCAUGGCCCAAGCUGUACCUUGACCUCUUUUAGCCACAGCUGGAAUUGGAGCAGCUGGGACACAGGGAACCUUGUCCUGAGACUGUACAGAGCUAGCUGGGCUGUGGGCCUGGGCCAUGAAAUCAUUUUUCCCUCCUAGGUCUCUGAGUCUGUGAUGGGUGGGGCUACUGUGAAGAUCUCUGACAUGCCCUGGAGAUAUUUUCCCAUUGUCUUGGUCAUUAACAUUUGGUUCCUCUUAUGCUAUGCAAAUUUCCACAGCAGGCUUGAAUUUCUCCCCAGAAAAUGGGUUUUUCUUUUCUACCACAUGGCUGGGCUGCAAAUUUCCCAAACUUUUAUGCUCUGCUUCCCUUUUAAAUACAAGUUCCAGUUUCAGAUAAUCUCUUUCUUCACACAUAUGAAUGUACACUUUUAGAAACAGCCAGAUCACCUCUUGAAAGCUUUAUUGCUUAGAAAUUUCUUCUGCCAGAUACCCUAAAUCAUCUCUCUCAAGUUCCAAGUUCCACAGAUCUCUAGGGCAGGGGCAAAAUGUCACCAGGUUCUUUGCUAACGUAUAACAGAAGUGACUUUUUCUCUAGUUUCCAAUAAGUUCCUCAUCUCCAUCUGAGAUCACCUCAGCCUGGACUUCAUUGUCCGUAUCAUUAUCAGUAUUUGGGUCACAACGAUUUAACAAAUCCCUAAGAAGUUCCCUCAUCUUUCUGUCUUCUUCUGAGCCCUCCACACUCUUCCAACCUUUACCUGUUACCCAGUUCCAAAGUCACUUCCAUAUUUUCAGGUAUCACUACAGCAAUGCCCACUCCUAGGUACCAAUUUUCUGUAUUAGCCAUUCUCU